This 69-nucleotide transfer RNA is filed under the name Anolis richardii. Its description in RNAcentral is "tRNA-Trp". It matches the Rfam family "tRNA". Rfam says of the family: Transfer RNA (tRNA) molecules are approximately 80 nucleotides in length. Their secondary structure includes four short double-helical elements and three loops (D, anti-codon, and T loops). Further hydrogen bonds mediate the characteristic L-shaped molecular structure. tRNAs have two regions of fundamental functional importance: the anti-codon, which is responsible for specific mRNA codon recognition, and the 3' end, to which the tRNAs corresponding amino acid is attached (by aminoacyl-tRNA synthetases). tRNAs cope with the degeneracy of the genetic code in two manners: having more than one tRNA (with a specific anti-codon) for a particular amino acid; and 'wobble' base-pairing, i.e. permitting non-standard base-pairing at the 3rd anti-codon position. The record is from RNAcentral. Lineage: Eukaryota; Metazoa; Chordata; Lepidosauria; Squamata; Anolidae.
UAGAAACUUAAGAUUAAUAAACUAAGGACCUUCAAAGCCCUAAAUAUGAGUUCAACUCUCAUAGUUUCU